This 217-nucleotide ribosomal RNA is filed under the name uncultured bacterium. Its description in RNAcentral is "partial 16S ribosomal RNA". It matches the Rfam family "Bacterial small subunit ribosomal RNA", at positions 118 to 334 of the family's 1533-position model. The record is from RNAcentral.
UCGGAACAUGUCCAUUCGUGGGGGAUAGCCCGGCGAAAGCCGGAUUAAUACCGCAUACGCCCUGAGGGGGAAAGCGGGGGACUUCGCAAGAGGCCUCGCGCGAUUGGGUUGGCCGAUGUCCGAUUAGCUAGUUGGUGAGGUAAAGGCUCACCAAGGCGAUGAUCGGUAGCUGGUCUGAGAGGAUGAUCAGCCACACUGGGACUGAGACACGGCCCAG